GUAAACACUUUUCAAUUAAUUUGAAACUUUAUAUACUAAUUUUUGGAACUGUAUUACAAUAUAAAAAAUAUUUCCCACGAAAAAAGUGAUGAAAAAAGUAUAGAAAAAAGAAAAUAUGAAAAAAGAAAAAAGAAAAAAUAUUCUGUGGGUUGAAUUUUUUUCCAAAACUUUCCAGAUUAGAUCUAUAUUAUUUAAUGAGGCUUCAGUUUAAAUUUUGUGAUUUUUGGAAAUU
Molecule: long non-coding RNA, 232 nt
Filed under: Gossypium raimondii (Peruvian cotton)
Lineage: Eukaryota; Viridiplantae; Streptophyta; Magnoliopsida; Malvales; Malvaceae
Description: long non-coding RNA (GRAI_LNC002732)
Source: RNAcentral